UGGAUAGAUUUGUGGACGAUCUGGAAUAUGCACCAAAAUCUAGCUCACCGCAUUAUGAUUUGUUUAAUGCUGCUUACACCGGGAAACUCAAACGCUUCAAGAGGUUGGCUUUGAAUCAUGCUAAAGAUGAAGAGAUUGGACUAGGAAAUGCGAUUGGAAAGGUUACAGGUGAAGAUAAAAGAGGGUCUCUUCAU
This is a long non-coding RNA of Papaver somniferum (opium poppy), 194 nucleotides long. RefSeq lists it as uncharacterized. Lineage: Eukaryota; Viridiplantae; Streptophyta; Magnoliopsida; Ranunculales; Papaveraceae. The record is from RefSeq and is a predicted model, not a curated record. The transcript has 3 exons.